This 53-nucleotide transfer RNA is filed under the name Blattisocius keegani. RNAcentral describes it as "tRNA-Arg". Lineage: Eukaryota; Metazoa; Arthropoda; Arachnida; Mesostigmata; Blattisociidae. The record is from RNAcentral.
CAAUAAUAAAAAAAACUAUUUUCGACAUAGUUUAUGAGAACUUUCUCUAUUGA